This is a non-coding RNA of Pelobates cultripes (western spadefoot toad), 3319 nucleotides long. The record is from the annotation of a GenBank genome assembly. NCBI's taxonomy places the organism in Eukaryota, Metazoa, Chordata, Amphibia, Anura, Pelobatidae.
CAUUAUUAUAUUAUAAAUACAAUUAAUAUUAACGAGGUUUAUUCAUGCACAUUACUUAAAUAAUUUAAACCCAACAAGAUGUUAAGAGUCCUUUUAUAAAUCUUCUAUAUGAAAGUUUAGAUACAGUGUAAAUUAUAACUGCACACAUUAGUACAUUUUCUAGCAUUUUUAAUAUUAUGAUCAUAUUCAAACCAUGUUGUUUACAGGAGUGCAAGCACAAACACCUCACAUAGAACGAUGAAGGCAAGACAUUUAGCAAAAUAUUGUUUUUAUAAGAAUUUCAUGACAAUCAUUUUACAGUGACCGUUGUUUACUUUUUCAAAGCGAUUUUCAAUAACAUUCGAACGUUCUAAUAACACAAACUGAUACAUUGUCCCACAAGUUACCCGUACAUUUAGCUACACGCCAAGCAAUUCUGUGUACACACUAUAGUCACCUGUGCAUUCUACAAUUGGCUAUCAUUUUGAGGAGGAUUUAAGCAGACAGUUGAGGAUAUUAUUUUUUAGAUUUUUUGAUCUGGAUAUUUUAGGUAUCUGGGUGGCAGAUUAUUGCUAGGCAGUACCCACAUUUUGUGUAUCUUAUUUAUUGAAGAAAUUGGACCCAAACGUGGCACAGACCCUAAUGAUGGCAUUCUCAGAAGAAGUAUUGGAAUUCACCAGAGAUCAUCCAGUCGAAAGGACAAGCUCUUUAUGAUCCGUGGAGUGCAGAGGGCAGCCACAUAAAGGGGGGUAAUGGAGGACUCCUUAACCUCUGACCCAGGCCUUUGUCAUUUUACUAGGAAGUGUUGAGAUAAUAACGAGGGUCCACUUUUUCUUCAGAAUGGCAAGCAGGAGGCCUCCAACAAAGCGCCAGUGUCUCUAUUAUCUGUCUACUGCAAACCCCCUCAUGUAGAAAACAUGUGUGUGUGUGAAUUACACAUUAAACAGUUUAUUUGAAGGAACAUAAAAUAGAAAUAAUUAGAAAUCAAUAUUUAUUGUUCUACUACACGCGGAUUUUCUAUGUAUGUUUAUUAGGAAAGAAACAUUGAGAUUGAGAUCAGCUCUCUCUGGACAGUACAUUAAAAAAAUAAAUUAAAAAAUAAAAUAUAAAUUAAAUCAUAUAUUGUUAUAAUUUCAGUUUACAUCUAAUGCAGUAGCUCAGCUAUGAUUGAUUACCUCGGUUUUCUUUGAACAACUACUCCCUAAUCUGUUUGUUGUUUUUUUUUUUAAAUGCAAGUAAACUAAAACCAGUAUUCACAUAUACACACAAACAUAUACACGAUCACAUACAUACGUAUAUAUAUAAAUAUGUAUGUAUUUCAGUGUUAGAAUAGAUAGUUUUUUAAAAUGAAGGUGCAUGUAUUUUUGCAACAUAUGGAUGUACAUAUUUAUUGAAGUGUGUCACCUAGUUAUUACGGCAUUUUUAUUGUUUAAAAUUAAGCUAGCAUACUAUAUAUAUAUAUGAACAGACAUUUGGAAAAUAUUACCACAUUUCUACUGUUUUUUUCCACGACUUGUUCCAUCCAUUGACAAGUAUGAUAAUGAGCUAGAAUACAGCAGCGACCUCUAGUGGAGAGCAAGGAUAAAUCACUAUCCGUGUCGAUUCUUAAUAUUUUGCAAUACAAUCGUAAGAUUAUUUAUAUUUAUUUUGUUAUAAAUUCAGAUUGGGUACUUGUUGGUUAAAAGUUGCCCCAGCUCAUUAUUACAUCUCAUCGUGCAGGCAGUAUUGAAUUUACCCACUUCAGAUGCUUGAAAUCCAAUGUUCUGAGAUUAGGUGGUCCUUAACACAUGCAGUAUAUUAAUAUUCUCUUUAAAUGACAUAUAUUGUUAUAUUUUCACUUUGUUAAUUCUAAUUUUCUUAGUAAACAAGUAACCAUACAUAUAUAUGCAUCAGUUCUGUAUCAGAAAAUAUGAGUGGAAUUAAUACUGUGCACAUCUCUGUUAAUGUUUCAUUAUUAUGUUAUCACAUUAGGAAUCAGACCACCAUAUGUAAUUAUAAUAUACAUAUCAUAUUUAGUGAAAGAAAAACACAAUGAUAUAUAUAAAUAAGUAUAUUUUUUUUAAACCAAACUAGCCAAGUAUAUUUCCAAAUAAUUUAAUUAGAUUGUCUUACAUUAUAGGGGUUGAAUGUUUAAUAAUAUCACCAGAAUAAAAAUCCCUAUUUAUUAUAAUUAUAUACGUUUAUUAGUACACAGCAUAUACUGACUUCAUUCUUUGUACCAAAAUGCACGUCAUAAUGUUGUGUAAUCUUCUAUUUAACGUGAUGACGAUGAAACUGCUACAUUGUACGUGGAACAUUAAUUUUAUAAAACUCAAGGAGAUUCACGUCCAUUAUUUAUUAAGUAUAAAAAUAUAUCCUUUACACAGAUAGCUUCUGAAAUGUACUUAUGUGCUUAAGAAGUAUUUUAAUUCGACGCACACGUUAAGAAAUUAUAAAAAAUGAAAAAACGUAAAUUCGUUGGCAAAAAUAUUGAUAGGAAAUAUGUCACAGUAAAUCACUAGUAUACAAAUAUACUAUUUGUGUAUACUAGAAUCCUAAACACUAAAACUCAUCUGUAACUGAGCUAUUGAAAUUGAAAACACAAAUACACACUUUCAUAUCUAAAUACCUUUAGAUGUACACAAUGGUUCACUUUAAAUGCAGUGGAUUAUCUUGGCUAUAAAUUCACCCGAUGGAGUACAAUGUAUAAUGUAUAUUGUUAUGUUUCUGUAAUUGUUAGUCCAUAAACUCUGCUCUAAGCGUUAUGUAUUCCCCAGAUCUUAGUCAAUGUAUUCCCCCCACUUACACAAUACCUUCACGAUUUAUCCAUUUCCCAAGCUGCCUCAUGGGCUAACUUGAUAUUCUGAAUUCUGUGGGCUGUUUGGGACCAGGUACCCUUGAUAGUAAGGUUAAGAAUAUAUCAACCCACACAGAGUAUGGACAAUAUUUAACUUUACAGUAAAUCCUGUUCUGUCAAAAGAAGGACACAGGUUUUGGGUCCUGCAUUACGUGUACUGUGUGAUCACGUAGAUGGGAGUGUGACUGACUAAUGACACUGUGUAUGAAAAUAUGGUGGGAGCAUACACGGAAAAAAAACACACGCACGUUUUAAAUAGUUUAUGGCACACAGAUCAUCAUAAUUAUAUCUAAGAAUUUAUAUUGGAGUCAUCUAAACCUACUUACAGAAAUAAUGACCUACAUGUGAGAGGAAGUGCCACAUCUGCAUUGUGUGGGGGACUAUCGCAAGGAGGAGCAGGGUUGUUGUUUGGGGAGGUCUGACAGUGGCAGGGGCCCUGAGUGGGGUCCUGAAAAGUCACCAUCUCCUUGUUGCCCCUGAGCCCCCUGUGAUACUGAGCUAGAA